UCCUCCCUCUGGCUUCGGGCUUAACACAUGCCAGUCGAACGGAAAGGCCCUGCUUGUGUGGGGUGCUCGAGUGGCGAACGGGUGAGUAACACGUGAGUAACCUGCCCUUGACUUUGGGAUAACUUCAGGAAACGGGGGCUAAUACCGGAUAGGAGCUCCUGCUGCAUGGUGGGGGUUGGAAAGUUUCGGCGGUUGGGGAUGGACUCGCGGCUUAUCAGCUUGUUGGUGGGGUAGUGGCUUACCAAGGCUUUGACGGGCAGCCGGCCUGAGAGGGUGACCGGCCACAUUGGGACUGAGAUACGGCCCAGACUCCUACGGGAGGCAGCAGUGGGGAAUAUUGCACAAUGGGCGGAAGCCUGAUGCAGCAACGCCGCGUGCGGGAUGACGGCCUUCGGGUUGUAAACCGCUUUCGCCUGUGACGAAGCGUGAGUGACGGUAAUGGGUAAAGAAGCACCGGCUAACUACGUG
This 468-nucleotide ribosomal RNA is filed under the name uncultured bacterium. Its description in RNAcentral is "partial 16S ribosomal RNA". It matches the Rfam family "Bacterial small subunit ribosomal RNA", at positions 36 to 507 of the family's 1533-position model. The record is from RNAcentral.